RNAcentral lists this ribosomal RNA (495 nucleotides) under uncultured bacterium. Its description in RNAcentral is "partial 16S ribosomal RNA". It matches the Rfam family "Bacterial small subunit ribosomal RNA", at positions 28 to 507 of the family's 1533-position model. The record is from RNAcentral.
GAUGAACGCUGGCGGCGUGCCUAAUACAUGCAAGUAGAACGCUGAAGGAGGAGCUUGCUCUUCUGGAUGAGUUGCGAACGGGUGAGUAACGCGUAGGUAACCUGCCUGGUAGCGGGGGAUAACUAUUGGAAACGAUAGCUAAUACCGCAUGACAACAGUUAUUGCAUGAUAACUGUUUAAAAGGGGCAACUGCUCCACUACCAGAUGGACCUGCGUUGUAUUAGCUAGUUGGUGAGGUAACGGCUCACCAAGGCGACGAUACAUAGCCGACCUGAGAGGGGGGUCGGCCACACUGGGACUGAGACACGGCCCAGACUCCUACGGGAGGCAGCAGUAGGGAAUCUUCGGCAAUGGACGGAAGUCUGACCGAGCAACGCCGCGUGAGUGAAGAAGGGUUUCGGAUCGUAAAGCUCUGUUGUAAGAGAAGAACGAGUGUGAGAGUGGAAAGUUCACACUGUGACGGUAUCUUACCAGAAAGGGACGGCUAACUACGUG